GCGAUGGUGGUGUAAUUGUCAGCAUAGUUGCCUUCCAAGCAGUUGAUCCGGGUUCGAUUCCCGGCCAUCGCA
This 72-nucleotide transfer RNA is filed under the name Trialeurodes vaporariorum (greenhouse whitefly). RNAcentral describes it as "tRNA-Gly for anticodon UCC". It matches the Rfam family "tRNA". Rfam says of the family: Transfer RNA (tRNA) molecules are approximately 80 nucleotides in length. Their secondary structure includes four short double-helical elements and three loops (D, anti-codon, and T loops). The record is from RNAcentral. Lineage: Eukaryota; Metazoa; Arthropoda; Insecta; Hemiptera; Aleyrodidae.